This 1603-nucleotide ribosomal RNA is filed under the name Listeria monocytogenes. RNAcentral's name for it is "partial 23S ribosomal RNA". It matches the Rfam family "Bacterial large subunit ribosomal RNA", at positions 1 to 1595 of the family's 2925-position model. The record is from RNAcentral. Lineage: Bacteria; Bacillati; Bacillota; Bacilli; Caryophanales; Listeriaceae.
GGUUAAGUUAGAAAGGGCGCACGGUGGAUGCCUUGGCACUAGGAGCCGAAGAAGGACGGGACUAACACCGAUAUGCUUUGGGGAGCUGUACGUAAGCGUUGAUCCAGAGAUUUCCGAAUGGGGGAACCCACUAUCUUUAGUCGGAUAGUAUCCUUACGUGAAUACAUAGCGUGAGGAAGGCAGACCCAGGGAACUGAAACAUCUAAGUACCUGGAGGAAGAGAAAGAAAAAUCGAUUUCCUGAGUAGCGGCGAGCGAAACGGAAAGAGCCCAAACCAAGAAGCUUGCUUCUUGGGGUUGUAGGACACUCUAUACGGAGUUACAAAAGAAAGUUAUAAAUGAAGCGGUCUGGAAAGGCCCGCCAAAGACGGUAACAGCCCGGUAGUUGAAAUGGCUUUCCCUCCAGAGUGGAUCCUGAGUACGGCGGAACACGUGAAAUUCCGUCGGAAUCCGGGAGGACCAUCUCCCAAGGCUAAAUACUCCCUAGUGACCGAUAGUGAACCAGUACCGUGAGGGAAAGGUGAAAAGCACCCCGGAAGGGGAGUGAAACAGUUCCUGAAACCGUGUGCCUACAAGUAGUUAGAGCCCGUUAAUGGGUGAUAGCGUGCCUUUUGUAGAAUGAACCGGCGAGUUACGAUUUGUUGCAAGGUUAAGCGGAAAAAGCGGAGCCGUAGCGAAAGCGAGUCUGAAUAGGGCGCAUAAGUAACAGGUCGUAGACCCGAAACCAGGUGAUCUACCCAUGUCCAGGAUGAAGGUAAGGUAAUACUUACUGGAGGUCCGAACCCACGCACGUUGAAAAGUGCGGGGAUGAGGUGUGGGUAGCGGAGAAAUUCCAAUCGAACUUGGAGAUAGCUGGUUCUCUCCGAAAUAGCUUUAGGGCUAGCCUCGAGGUAAAGAGUCAUGGAGGUAGAGCACUGUUUGGACUAGGGGCCCUUCUCGGGUUACCGAAUUCAGAUAAACUCCGAAUGCCAUGUACUUAUACUCGGGAGUCAGACUGCGAGUGAUAAGAUCCGUAGUCGAAAGGGAAACAGCCCAGACCACCAGUUAAGGUCCCCAAAUAUAUGUUAAGUGGAAAAGGAUGUGGGGUUGCUUAGACAACCAGGAUGUUGGCUUAGAAGCAGCCACCAUUGAAAGAGUGCGUAAUAGCUCACUGGUCGAGUGACCCCGCGCCGAAAAUGUACCGGGGCUAAACAUAUUACCGAAACUGUGGAUGAACCUCUUUAGAGGUUCGUGGUAGGAGAGCGUUCUAAGGGCGGUGAAGUCAGACCGGAAGGACUGGUGGAGCGCUUAGAAGUGAGAAUGCCGGUAUGAGUAGCGAAAGAAGGGUGAGAAUCCCUUCCACCGAAUAUCUAAGGUUUCCUGAGGAAGGCUCGUCCGCUCAGGGUUAGUCGGGACCUAAGCCGAGGCCGAUAGGCGUAGGCGAUGGACAACAGGUAGAGAUUCCUGUACCAGUGCUAAUUGUUUAACCGAUGGGGUGACACAGAAGGAUAGGGAAUCGCACGAAUGGAAAUGUGCGUCCAAGCAGUGAGUGUGAGAAGUAGGCAAAUCCGCUUCUCGCGAAGCAUGAGCUGUGAUGGGGAAGGAAAUUAAGUACGGAAGUUCCU